Molecule: long non-coding RNA, 725 nt
Organism: Spinacia oleracea (spinach)
Lineage: Eukaryota; Viridiplantae; Streptophyta; Magnoliopsida; Caryophyllales; Amaranthaceae
Exons: 3
Source: RefSeq, a predicted model, not a curated record
UAGAAAUAAAUUAUUUAAGUAACGAAUAUUUAUUUUUAUACGUUUUAAAUAUUUCAACGAUUUAUGAAAUUAAAAUAAGUUUAGAAUUUUAUGUUGAAAAGAAAUUGAAUUACGAAAACCGUUUGAAUUUUGAAAACAAUCCUAAUUGGUUUUGGAUUCAAACACUUAAACUCAACCUUAGUUCUAGCCCAAGUUGAUAAAGCCCAAAUAAUAAGACCCAAAACACUUUACUCCUUUCCUCUCUUUCAAUGUUACGUAAAAGCAAAAACAACAAAAACUUCUCUGCUUCACUUUCACGUGAACCAUAACCCUUAACCUCUUCCCCCUUUGCUCAGCCGCCAGCCGGCAGCCACGCUGGACCACCGUCACUACACCGACCUCCUGCCACCAGCCCCUCCGCCGUCGCGCACGCAACCACCACCUGUACCACCACCUGCUCCCGCCGACUUCCCAUCGCCACAACCCAGCCGUCGACCAACCUCCUCCCUUCUCCUUUACAUACACAAGAAAUCCCCCCUCCUAUUUUCUUUGUUGCUCCGCACGCAGCUACCAGUCGCGCUGCACCACCGUCGCGCCACCAAGAGUGUUGAACCACCGACGUACCCACCGUCUGCUGCCGCCACUGUCGCCGGCCAGCAGCUUCCUUCUUCCUCACUUUAGGUGGAGAAUUCUCUUUAGGCAACUUUUGAAAGUGUUAAGGUGACGUAUCAGUUUGUUUACACAAG